Molecule: ribosomal RNA, 660 nt
Filed under: uncultured Pseudomonadota bacterium
Lineage: Bacteria; Pseudomonadati; Pseudomonadota
Description: bacterial SSU rRNA
Rfam family: Bacterial small subunit ribosomal RNA
Source: RNAcentral
GAACGGUAACAGGAAGCAGCUUGCUGCUUCGCUGACGAGUGGCGGACGGGUGAGUAAUGUCUGGGAAACUGCCUGAUGGAGGGGGAUAACUACUGGAAACGGUAGCUAAUACCGCAUAAUGUCGCAAGACCAAAGAGGGGGACCUUCGGGCCUCUUGCCAUCGGAUGUGCCCAGAUGGGAUUAGCUAGUAGGUGGGGUAACGGCUCACCUAGGCGACGAUCCCUAGCUGGUCUGAGAGGAUGACCAGCCACACUGGAACUGAGACACGGUCCAGACUCCUACGGGAGGCAGCAGUGGGGAAUAUUGCACAAUGGGCGCAAGCCUGAUGCAGCCAUGCCGCGUGUAUGAAGAAGGCCUUCGGGUUGUAAAGUACUUUCAGCGGGGAGGAAGGGAGUAAAGUUAAUACCUUUGCUCAUUGACGUUACCCGCAGAAGAAGCACCGGCUAACUCCGUGCCAGCAGCCGCGGUAAUACGGAGGGUGCAAGCGUUAAUCGGAAUUACUGGGCGUAAAGCGCACGCAGGCGGUUUGUUAAGUCAGAUGUGAAAUCCCCGGGCUCAACCUGGGAACUGCAUCUGAUACUGGCAAGCUUGAGUCUCGUAGAGGGGGGUAGAAUUCCCAGGUGUAGCCGGUGAAAUGCGUAGAGCUCCUGGAGGAAUACC